This is a long non-coding RNA of Paramormyrops kingsleyae, 963 nucleotides long. RefSeq lists it as uncharacterized. The record is from RefSeq and is a predicted model, not a curated record. NCBI's taxonomy places the organism in Eukaryota, Metazoa, Chordata, Actinopteri, Osteoglossiformes, Mormyridae.
CUCUCCGUAAGGUCACUGCGAGUGGCAAAGGAAGAGCAGUCCCUACUGCUACUCCUCCUCUUCCUCCUCCAAGUCAACGAGCGAAGGCUUUGACGUGAUCCCACAGUCCCCCAGCGAAGACUACACCCCCCAACCUGAGGUUGCCUGAGGCCACAGUAACAAGCAGUGCAGAACCCACUCUUUUAUUGUAUAGCAUGCACUGAAAUAACUGGGGACUUUGCCAGUGCAAGACCAGCGCCAGUGGAUGACUGUGGUUAUAUUUAUCCAGUAAGGAAAUCCGACAGUAUAUCGGUGUGCGGGCGGAGUCUGGCUGGAACGCCCGCUGCCAUCGCGCCAAGUAUUGUUGCUUAGACGGAUGCGAGAUAUCAGCGGACAGCUGAGGGGUCGAUAAAAAUAAUCGUAACAAACCCGCUCCCAUAGAGCACGGCGAAGGAAGGUCCUGAUACCCCGCUUUUGAAUGAGAAACAAACAGCUUUUACUCUGGGGUUUUACCGGGGUAUUUCUAUUUUGGGGGGCAUGACAAACCAGAAGCAUCUAACUGGACACCAAGGAGACCUCAGGGAUCAUUGGCCACGGCGGUUUCACUGCAAUCGAACAGGAUUCCCAGGAUUUUGGAAUGCUGGCUUCAGUGCUGGGGGGGGGGAAGGGGGGGGUAACUGCACAGGCCUCCAUCCACUUCAGCUAAACAUAAGUGAGCUUAAUAAUGGGCCCUAGUCUUCUGGUGGAUGCAUCUGGCAUGUCACAGGGAUACAAGAACAUUGAAUUCACUGGGCUGGAGUCUGCAACAAACAAUAAAACCACAGUGAAAGAAGUUUCCAUAAAGACAAGAGGUCCCAUCCAGGCAAAGGAGGUGUACCUGAUACAAUUCUAUUUAAAUAUUAACCUGUGCACUGGGCAAUUAUACUUGAUGAAUAUCUUAAGAUCUUGACUGUCCGAAGACUAAUAAAGAAAGCUGAUCCCUUC